AAAUUUGAAAUCUGGCGCAAGCCCGAGUUGUAAUUUGUAGAGGAUGCUUCUGGCCAGCGGCCGUUCUAAGUUCCUUGGAACAGGACGUCAUAGAGGGUGAGAAUCCCGUAUGUGACCGGCGCGCAGCCUUUACGUAGCUCCUUCGACGAGUCGAGUUGUUUGGGAAUGCAGCUCUAAAUGGGAGGUAAAUUUCUUCUAAAGCUAAAUACCGGCCAGAGACCGAUAGCGCACAAGUAGAGUGAUCGAAAGAUGAAAAGCACUUUGGAAAGAGAGUUAAAAAGCACGUGAAAUUGUUGAAAGGGAAGCGCUUGCAACCAGACUUCGUAGCGAUGUUCCGCCGGUCAAAAGACCGGUCUACUCAUCGUCGCGAGGCCAACAUCGUCUGGGGCCGCCGGAUAAGACCUAAGGAAUGUAGCUUCCCUCGGGAAGUGUUAUAGCCUUUGGUGAUGCGGCGCGUCUCGGGCGAGGUCCGCGCUUCGGCAAGGAUGUUGGCGUAAUGGUUGCCAGCGGCCCGUCUUGAAACACGGACCAAGGAGUCUAACAUCUAUGCGAGUGUUCGGGUGUCAAACCCCUACGCGUAAUGAAAGUGAACGGAGGUGGGAAGCGCAAGCUGCACCAUCGACCGAUCCUGAUGUCCUCGGAUGGAUUUGAGUAAGAGCAUAGCUGUUGGGACCCGAAAGAUGGUGAACUAUGCCUGAAUAGGGUGAAGCCAGAGGAAACUCUGG
Molecule: ribosomal RNA, 725 nt
Filed under: Phaeocercospora juniperina
Lineage: Eukaryota; Fungi; Ascomycota; Dothideomycetes; Mycosphaerellales; Mycosphaerellaceae
Description: eukaryotic LSU rRNA
Rfam family: Eukaryotic large subunit ribosomal RNA
Source: RNAcentral